This 2051-nucleotide long non-coding RNA is filed under the name Phocoena sinus (vaquita). RNAcentral describes it as "lncRNA (ENSPSNG00000007595.1)". Lineage: Eukaryota; Metazoa; Chordata; Mammalia; Artiodactyla; Phocoenidae. The record is from RNAcentral.
GCGCAUGCUCGGCGCCCACUGCCUGGGCCGGACCUCCGCGCACCGGAGCAUCUGCAAUUCUGACUCGCAUCCUGGCCUGGGCAUCCCGCGCCGGGCCAUGACGGCGCACUCCUUCGCCCUCCCGGUCAUCAUCUUCACCACGUUCUGGGGCCUCAUCGGCAUCGCCGGGCCCUGGUUCGUGCCGAAAGGACCCAACCGCGGAGUGACCAUCACCAUGCUGGUGGCCACCGCUGUCUGCUGUUACCUCUUCUGGCUCAUCGCCAUCCUGGCUCAGCUGAACCCCCUGUUCGGGCCCCAGCUGAAGAAUGAGACGAUCUGGUAUGUGCACUUCCUGUGGGAGUGACCACUGCCGCCUCCUUGGCCCCAGGUGCCCCAGCUCUCUGGAUGACCUUGGCUCCGCUGUCCCUGAUGACCCUUCUGUCACCCCUACGACUGUGUCCCAGUCCCUCCGUGCUCCCUCCUCCAAGGCCUGCCUGGUUCUGGAAAGUACCACCCUCCCCAGCCAGUCUGGGCCUCAGGAAGCCCCGAGCUCAGAGCCAGGCCGGAGCAGAUGUCCAGUCCUCAAGUUCCCGCUGCCCGCUCCCGAGUAGGUCCAGGCCAGGAGCUCACAAGGGUGGGGCUGCGCCUUUUACACAGUGGGGCAGCCAGAGAAGCCUUCGCGUCCUGUUCAGCCCGGGAUGCUCUGAGCCUCAGGUGGGCCGGGCCGGGGAGGAAGCCCUGGGGGAAGAGGCAGAGCCCCGCCACUGUCCUCCUGUGUGACCCCAGGAAGGGUCUGCCUGUGUGGGCCUCCUCCCCUGUGAGAUGGAGGAGCUUGGUCAGGUGUGGCAAAGGCCUUUCUUGGAAUUCUCCUUUAAAUUUUGACACGUUUCGAUGUGAAAUUUCUGGAAUUGUUGACGAAAUGGAAAAACAGUCCCACAAAACAUUACGAUCUAAAGCAUCAUAGUAAUGUGGAUCAAGGUUGAAACAUGUAUGUUUAGCAUCCUUUAUAGUCACGAAGUCACUUACGUUGGCUUGCUCAGGAAGUGGUAUCUCCUCAGAACAUCCUCUUCCCUCUUCCUCCCCACCUGGAUCACCUCCCUCCCUUCACAGAGGCUCAGCCCGAGCACAGCAGGAGCUGAAGAAACUGGAGGCAGCUCCUGCUGAGGCCGGGCCCAGGCUCUGGCAGCGGUGAGGGUGGAUUUCGGAGCCCCUCACAGCAGCACGUAGGUCAUCUGGAGCGAGGGAGGGCGCGGAGGGCCAGGUGUGGGCCAGGUGUGGGCUGGGCUCUGCUGAGAUGCUGCCCGGCGGGGGAGCCCCUGGCCUGGUGGGGGAGCCCCUGGCCUGGUGACGCCUGGAGAGUUGGGGUGGAGACCUCAGACACUUGCCCGCAGCCCCGGAGCUAAUUGGAGUCCCCCACGUCUGCUGUGCCACGUUGCCUCCCUGGGAAAGAAGCCAGUCUCUUGUAUUUACUGACGGUUGAGUUGAUUGGCAUUCUGUUCAGUAGGCAUCGUUUUUGGAGCGGUGGUAGAACGUGGUAUGUCUCACCUGGAUUUCUUGGUUCUGGGCUUGGCCUGUUGCUCAGAUCGGGGCCUCGCUUGAACAUCCCACCCACCCCCUUUCCAACUCCCUUCCUGUGCUGACCUCUGUGGCCCCCCUGGAGUGGGGCUGUUGAGUCUCAAUUGGCGGCUAGAAGCCUGACCCGUGUCUAGUGAUUAAUGAGUGGUGAGGAAAUUCCUGUUUGGUGGCAAAGUCCUGGCCGAGGCCAAGUUUGCUGGCUGCCGCUCCCCUGCCCACCUGAUUCCCAUUCCCUCGGUGGGUGGAUUUGGGGCCCAGGAAAGGGACUGGCAGCUGCUUGGAGCUGCAGCUCUGGGAUGUGGCCACUGAGACUACAUUUUCCUGAGACCUGAGCGAGAAUCCCGCUGUCCUGGAUUUUGCCCAGAACCAGGCCGGGCAGGAGGAGGCAGACGGAGGACUCGUUCAAGUGGAACUUUGCCCCACCACCCAUCUGUGCCCCAGAUUACAGAGUGCAUGGCCCCCCGGGGCUCUGCAAUAAAGCCGGUCCCCAACAUUCC